GGAAUUAAGCAUAUAAGUAAGCGGAGGAUAAGAAACUAAAUAGGAUUCCCUCAGUAAUGGCGAAUGAACAGGGAUAAGCUCAGCGUGGAAAUUGGGGCCUGUGGCCUUGAAUUGUAGUCUGGAGAUGUACUGCCAACGGAGGCGCAGAUGUAAGCCUCUUGGAAAAGAGCAUCAACGAGGGUGAGAGUCCCGUUUGUCAUCUGCAGUCCCCCGUGCACGGCGUACCUUCUAAGAGUCACGUUCCUCGGGAUUGGAGCGCAAAGUGGGUGGUAAAUUUCAUCUAAAGCUGAAUAUUGGUUCGAGACCGAUAGCAAACAAGUACCAUGAGGGAAAGGUGAAAAGGACUUUGAAAAGAGAGUUAAAAGUGCCUGAAAUUGCUGAAAGGGAAGCGAACGGAACCAGUUUGUCUUGGUGAGAUUGUUGCGCGCUAUUGUGAUGAUCUGUUGCUUCAGCGCAAGCGUGGCAAUAGGUUUUGAUCAGGACGUGCGCAGUGCUUCUUGCCUUGCGUGUCAACUUCAGUUCGCACUUGAAGAAAACUCCAGGGACAUGGUAGCCUGCCCUUGGGUGUGUGAAUGUGCUUGGCUGAAUUCAUGUGCGUACUGCUUGCUGACUAAAUGGUUCCUUUCGACCCGUCUUGAAACACGGACCAAGGAUUA
This 656-nucleotide ribosomal RNA is filed under the name Ensiculifera sp. SSND22. Its description in RNAcentral is "partial large subunit ribosomal RNA". It matches the Rfam family "Eukaryotic large subunit ribosomal RNA", at positions 30 to 675 of the family's 3401-position model. Lineage: Eukaryota; Dinophyceae; Peridiniales; Ensiculiferaceae. The record is from RNAcentral.